GUGUUGCGCGACCUGGGGAUUGACCCAGAGGAGAAAAAGAAGAAGCCUGUGAAGAAGAAGAAGAAGGCGGAGCCGGAGGUGACCAGCAAGGGCACUGGCCCUAGUCGCGCAACAACUGCUGCUGGCAAAGGUACUCUUCGCCUUCGUCAACGUGACUUGGAUGAUUAUCUAAGGGAAAAGCUGGUGCUGGUGGGUCAAAGAGUUCUGGAAGCGCGGGUUCUCGCAACCCUGAAG
Molecule: long non-coding RNA, 234 nt
Filed under: Helianthus annuus (common sunflower)
Lineage: Eukaryota; Viridiplantae; Streptophyta; Magnoliopsida; Asterales; Asteraceae
Description: hypothetical non coding rna
Source: RNAcentral